This 373-nucleotide ribosomal RNA is filed under the name uncultured organism. RNAcentral's name for it is "bacterial SSU rRNA". It matches the Rfam family "Bacterial small subunit ribosomal RNA", at positions 526 to 896 of the family's 1533-position model. The record is from RNAcentral.
CGUAGGAUCCGAGCGUUAUCCGGAUUUACUGGGCGUAAAGAGUUGCGUAGGUGGCGGAGUAAGUGAACAGUGAAAGCGUGCGGCUCAACCGCAUAUACAUUGUUUAAACUGCUCAGCUUGAAGAUGAGAGAGGUCACUGGAAUUCCAAGUGUAGGAGUGAAAUCCGUAGAUAUUUGGAGGAACACCGAUGGCGUAGGCAGGUGACUGGCUCAUUCUUGACACUAAGGCACGAAAGCGUGGGGAGCAAACGGGAUUAGAUACCCCGGUAGUCCACGCCGUAAACGAUGGAUGCUAGCUGUUAGGAGUAUCGACCCUCCUAGUAGCGUAGCUAACGCGUUAAGCAUCCCGCCUGUGGAGUACGGUCGCAAGACUA